GGUAAAAUGGCUGAGUAAAGCAAUAGACUGUAAAUCUAUGAACAGAGGUUAAUUCCUCUUUUUACCA
RNAcentral lists this transfer RNA (67 nucleotides) under Naemorhedus cranbrooki. RNAcentral describes it as "Nemorhedus cranbrooki tRNA-Tyr". It matches the Rfam family "tRNA". Rfam says of the family: Transfer RNA (tRNA) molecules are approximately 80 nucleotides in length. Their secondary structure includes four short double-helical elements and three loops (D, anti-codon, and T loops). Lineage: Eukaryota; Metazoa; Chordata; Mammalia; Artiodactyla; Bovidae. The record is from RNAcentral.